CCUACGGGAGGCAGCAGUGGGGAAUCUUGCACAAUGGGGGCAACCCUGAUGCAGCGACGCCGCGUGAGCGAUGAAGCCCUUCGGGGUGUAAAGCUCUUUCGGCAGGAACGCGGUACCUGAAGAAGAAGCUGCGGCUAACUACGUGCCAGCAGCCGCGGUAAUACGUAGGCAGCAAGCGUUGUUCGGAGUUACUGGGCGUAAAGAGUGUGUAGGCGGUUCUCUAAGUUCCGUGUGAAAUCUCCCGGCUCAACUGGGAGGGUGCGCGGGAAACUGGAGGGCUUGAGUAUGGGAGAGGAAAGCGGAAUUCCUGGUGUAGCGGUGAAAUGCGUAGAUAUCAGGAGGAACACCUGCGGUGUAGACAGCUUUCUGGACCAUACUGACGCUGAGACACGAAAGCGUGGGUAGCAAACAGGAUUAGAUACCCUUGUAGUC
Molecule: ribosomal RNA, 432 nt
Filed under: uncultured bacterium
Lineage: Bacteria
Description: partial 16S ribosomal RNA
Rfam family: Bacterial small subunit ribosomal RNA
Source: RNAcentral